Molecule: ribosomal RNA, 326 nt
Filed under: uncultured eukaryote
Lineage: Eukaryota
Description: partial 18S ribosomal RNA
Rfam family: Eukaryotic small subunit ribosomal RNA
Source: RNAcentral
CCCUUAGAUGUUCUGGGCCGCACGCGCGCUACACUGACGAAUGCAACGAGCUUAUAACCUUGGCCGAAAGGUCUGGGUAAUCUCCAAAUUUCGUCGUGAUGGGGAUAGAUUAUUGCAAUUAUUAAUCUUCAACGAGGAAUGCCUAGUAAGCGCAAGUCAUCAGCUUGCGUCGAUUACGUCCCUGCCCUUUGUACACACCGCCCGUCGCUCCUACCGAUUGGGUGUGCUGGUGAAAUGUUCGGAUCGGCCGUUUGUCGCGGUUUCCGCGGCUCGUGGCUGAGAAGUUCAUUAAACCCUCCCACCUAGAGGAAGGAGAAGUCGUAACA